CCUACGGGAGGCAGCAGUGGGGAAUAUUGGGCAAUGGGCGCAAGCCUGACCCAGCAACGCCGCGUGAAGGAAGCAGGCUUUCGGGUUGUAAACUUCUUUUAAGAGGGAAGAGCAGAAGACGGUACCUCUUGAAUAAGCCACGGCUAACUACGGGCCAGCAGCCGCGGUAAUACGUAGGUGGCAAGCGUUGUCCGGAUUUACUGGGUGUAAAGGUCGUGUAGCCGGGCUGACAAGUCAGAUGUGAAAUUCCGGGGCUCAACCUCGGACCUGCAUUUGAAACUGUUGGUCUUGAGUAUGGGAGAGGCAGGCGGAAGUCCUAGUGUAGCGGUGAAAUGCGUAGAUAUUAGGAGGAACACCAGUGGCGAAGGCGGCCUGCUGGACGACAACUGACGGUGAGGCGCGAAAGCGUGGGUAGCAAACAGGAUUAGAUACCCUUGUAGUC
Molecule: ribosomal RNA, 442 nt
Filed under: uncultured bacterium
Lineage: Bacteria
Description: partial 16S ribosomal RNA
Rfam family: Bacterial small subunit ribosomal RNA
Source: RNAcentral